AGGACGAUGAGUGGUCCCGCGCCACCCUGCACGGCCAUUACCUGCCGCAGGAUGAGGUGCUGCUGCGCCUGCGCCCGGUCGAUUCCGGCCCGUCCUACCA
Molecule: transfer RNA, 100 nt
Filed under: Corynebacterium tuberculostearicum
Lineage: Bacteria; Bacillati; Actinomycetota; Actinomycetes; Mycobacteriales; Corynebacteriaceae
Also listed under: 4 other names
Description: tRNA-OTHER
Source: RNAcentral